GCACUCUUGGUUUAGUGGUAAAAUCAGCGCUUCCCAUGCUGUACAGCACAGUUUGCGCUGGCCCCGGGUUCGAUUCCCGGAGGGUGCA
Tricladium varicosporioides is the source of this 88-nucleotide non-coding RNA. NCBI's taxonomy places the organism in Eukaryota, Fungi, Ascomycota, Leotiomycetes, Helotiales, Tricladiaceae. The record is from the annotation of a GenBank genome assembly.